UUGCCAAUGAGACAACUGUCCACAAGAGACCAAAAUGACACAGACAUUAACAACUAUAGGUCACCGUACGACCUUCAACAAUGAGCAAAGCCAAUACCGCAUAGUCAGCUAUAAAAGGCCACGAUAAGACAAUGUAAAACAAUUCAAACGAGAAAACUAACGGCCUUAUUUAUAUAAAAAAAUGAACGAAAAACAAACAUGCAAAACAUAAAUAAACGAC
RNAcentral lists this long non-coding RNA (220 nucleotides) under Mytilus galloprovincialis (Mediterranean mussel). Lineage: Eukaryota; Metazoa; Mollusca; Bivalvia; Mytilida; Mytilidae. The record is from RNAcentral.